GUCCUGGCCGUAAACGAUGGGCACUAGGUGUGGGAGGUAUCGACCCCUUCCGUGCCGCAGCUAACGCAAUAAGUGCCCCGCCUGGGAAGUACGGCCGCAAGGUUGAAACUCAAAAGGAAUUGACGGGGGCCCGCACAAGCGGUGGAGCAUGUGGUUUAAUUCGACGCAACGCGAAGAACCUUACCUGGGUUUGACAUCCUUCGGACAGGCUGCGAAAGCAGUUUUUCCCGCAAGGGACUGAAGGACAGGUGCUGCAUGGCUGUCGU
Molecule: ribosomal RNA, 266 nt
Filed under: uncultured bacterium
Lineage: Bacteria
Description: partial 16S ribosomal RNA
Rfam family: Bacterial small subunit ribosomal RNA
Source: RNAcentral